RNAcentral lists this unclassified non-coding RNA (322 nucleotides) under Pluteus hongoi. Its description in RNAcentral is "partial internal transcribed spacer region". The stretch from base 1 to 46 matches the Rfam family "Eukaryotic small subunit ribosomal RNA", at positions 1786 to 1831 of the family's 1831-position model. Lineage: Eukaryota; Fungi; Basidiomycota; Agaricomycetes; Agaricales; Pluteaceae. The record is from RNAcentral.
AAGUCGUAACAAGGUUUCCGUAGGUGAACCUGCGGAAGGAUCAUUAGUGAAUAAACAAGUGCAGGUUGUGCUGGCCUUCUUGGGUAUGUGCACGCCUGCCAGUUUCAUUCCAUCUUCCCACCUGUGCACUCUGUGUAGAUUCUGUAUGCUAUUGUCAAGCCUUUAUUGCGCUUGGUUGAGAGGAGUUGCUUGUUUCACCAAGCUCUUCUUGGGCAUGCAGGUCUAUGUUUAUAUCAACACCAUAUGAAUGUUUUAGAAUGUGCUUUAGGCUUUUUGGCCUUUAAAUUAUAUACAACUUUCAACAACGGAUCUCUUGGCUCUC